UACUACCUACGGGGCGCAGCAGUGGGGGAUAUUGCACAAUGGGGGAAACCCUGAUGCAGCGACGCCGCGUGUGGGAAGACGGUCCUCUGGAUUGUAAACCACUGUCCCCAGGGACGAAGAUGACGGUACCUGGGGAGGAAGCUCCGGCUAACUACGUGCCAGCAGCCGCGGUAAUACGUAGGGAGCGAGCGUUGUCCGGAAUUACUGGGUGUAAAGGGAGCGUAGGCGGGGAU
RNAcentral lists this ribosomal RNA (233 nucleotides) under uncultured bacterium. RNAcentral's name for it is "partial 16S ribosomal RNA". It matches the Rfam family "Bacterial small subunit ribosomal RNA", at positions 333 to 582 of the family's 1533-position model. The record is from RNAcentral.